GAUGAACGCUGGCGGCGUGCCUAAUACAUGCAAGUCGAGCGAACAGACGAGGAGCUUGCUCCUCUGACGCUAGCGGCGGACGGGUGAGUAACACGUGGAUAACCUACCUAUAAGACUGGGAUAACUUCGGGAAACCGGAGCUAAUACCGGAUAACAUGUUGAACCGCAUGGUUCAACAGUGAAAGACGGUCUUGCUGUCACUUAUAGAUGGAUCCGCGCCGCAUUAGCUAGUUGGUAAGGUAACGGCUUACCAAGGCAACGAUGCGUAGCCGGCCUGAGAGGGUGAUCGGCCACACUGGAACUGAGACACGGUCCAGACUCCUACGGGAGGCAGCAGUAGGGAAUCUUCCGCAAUGGGCGAAAGCCUGACGGAGCAACGCCGCGUGAGUGAAGAAGGUCCUCGGAUCGUAAAACUCUGUUAUUAGGGAAGAACAAAUGUGUAAGUAACUAUGCACGUCUUGACGGUACCUAAUCAGAAAGCCACGGCUAACUACGUG
Molecule: ribosomal RNA, 497 nt
Filed under: uncultured bacterium
Lineage: Bacteria
Description: partial 16S ribosomal RNA
Rfam family: Bacterial small subunit ribosomal RNA
Source: RNAcentral